CCUACGGGGGGCAGCAGUGAGGAAUAUUGGUCAAUGGACGCGAGUCUGAACCAGCCAAGUCGCGUGCGGGAAGACGGCCCUAUGAGUUGUAAACUGCUUUUGUCCGGGGGCAAACGAAGCUACGCGUGGCGGUCUGAGAGUAUCCGACGAAUAAGCAUCGGCUAACUCCGUGCCAGCAGCCGCGGUAAUACGGAGGAUGCGAGCGUUAUCCGGAUUUAUUGGGUUUAAAGGGUGCGUAGGCGGUAGAUCAAGUUAGCGGUAAAAUCGGGAGGCUCAACCUCUUCGUGCCGUUGAAACUGGUUGUCUUGAGUGAGCGAGAAGUAUGCGGAAUGCGUGGUGUAGCGGUGAAAUGCAUAGAUAUCACGCAGAACUCCGAUUGCGAAGGCAGCAUACCGGCGCUCAACUGACGCUCAUGCACGAAAGUGUGGGUAUCGAACAGGAUUAGAUACCCCGGUAGUC
This 459-nucleotide ribosomal RNA is filed under the name uncultured bacterium. RNAcentral's name for it is "partial 16S ribosomal RNA". It matches the Rfam family "Bacterial small subunit ribosomal RNA", at positions 338 to 795 of the family's 1533-position model. The record is from RNAcentral.